RNAcentral lists this ribosomal RNA (252 nucleotides) under uncultured bacterium. RNAcentral's name for it is "partial 16S ribosomal RNA". It matches the Rfam family "Bacterial small subunit ribosomal RNA", at positions 524 to 776 of the family's 1533-position model. The record is from RNAcentral.
UACGAAGGGGGCGAGCGUUGUUCGGAUUUACUGGGCGUAAAGGGCGCGUAGGCGCUUGUCAGUCAGGCGUGAAAGCCCCGGGCUCAACCUGGGAACGGCGCUUGGGACGGCGAGGCUGGAGUUCGGGAGAGGAGAGUGGAAUUCCCAGUGUAGAGGUGAAAUUCGUAGAUAUCAGGAGGAACACCGGUGGCGAAGGCGGGUCUCUGGGCCGAUACUGACGCUGAGGAGCGAAAGCGUGGGGGAGCGAACAGG